Molecule: ribosomal RNA, 274 nt
Filed under: uncultured bacterium
Lineage: Bacteria
Description: partial 16S ribosomal RNA
Rfam family: Bacterial small subunit ribosomal RNA
Source: RNAcentral
AUACGGAGGGUGCGAGCGUUAUCCGGAUUUAUUAGGUUUAAAGGGUGUGUAGGCGGGAGCCUAAGUCAGUGGUGAAAUCUCACAGCUUAACUGUGAAACUGCCAUUGAAACUGGGUUUCUUGAGUAUAGUUGAGGUAGGCGGAAUGUGUAAUGUAGCGGUGAAAUGCAUAGAUAUUACACAGAACACCGAUUGCGAAGGCAGCUUACUAAGCUAUUACUGACGCUGAUGCACGAAAGCGUGGGUAGCGAACAGGAUUAGAAACCCUUGUAGUCC